Molecule: long non-coding RNA, 399 nt
Filed under: Homo sapiens (human)
Lineage: Eukaryota; Metazoa; Chordata; Mammalia; Primates; Hominidae
Description: non-protein coding lnc-SLC24A3-1:9
Source: RNAcentral
GAAAGGGGUGCGUGCGCGUUUGUGCUAAAACAAGAAAGGCAAGAAUCUCCGAGAACAAAACUCUGGUCCUCGCCUGGCCGGGGACCGCAGAAGACAGGGGCGGCAGCGCCAAGGCGGGUCAGGGGCCGGUCCAGCCAAGUUUGCUCCGGCUUAGAUAAACUUUCUGAUGGCAGUUUUUCCUGGUUGCAGCCUGGGUUCCUUGUAACAGGAUGGAGACGAGAGAUCUGGACUUCUGAACAUCUACCGGAAAAGAUAAAAUGUGCAAGCCCUUCAGAACGCUGGGGAGGUUGGGCUGAACUGCAGUGGGAGAGGAGAAGAGAUGCUGGCGUGAAGGGCUGGGGCAGAAGAUCAGGGGAAAAUUGCGGAUGAUCUGAAUGAUAGCAGUGACCACCAGCAACC